UACGGGGGGGGCAAGCGUUGUUCGGAAUUACUGGGCGUAAAGGGCUCGUAGGCGGCCAACUAAGUCAGACGUGAAAUCUCCCGGCUCAACUGGGAAACUGCAUCGGAAACUGACCGGCUUGAAGGUGGGAGAGGGUAGUGGAAUUCCCGGUGUAGUGGUGAAAUGCGUAGAUAUCGGGAGGAACACCAGUGGCGAAGGCGACUACCUGGACCAGUAUUGACGCUGAGGCGCGAAAGCUAGGGGAGCGAACGGG
Molecule: ribosomal RNA, 253 nt
Filed under: uncultured bacterium
Lineage: Bacteria
Description: partial 16S ribosomal RNA
Rfam family: Bacterial small subunit ribosomal RNA
Source: RNAcentral